Molecule: long non-coding RNA, 620 nt
Organism: Hyla sarda
Lineage: Eukaryota; Metazoa; Chordata; Amphibia; Anura; Hylidae
Exons: 4
Source: RefSeq, a predicted model, not a curated record
UGAGCCCCAAUACACUGAGCAAGCUAUGUCAGGAAGUAUGUGCUGUCUGAAGCUGAUGAAUGCCGCUGAGUGGGGCUCAGAGUAAAAGCAAUCCAGCCUCCAGGCAUAACAUGAAUAAGAAAAGAAAGACUUGGCGACUCACCGAAGCUGCAGGAAUGACUUUUCUUUAUUCCAAGAGAUGUGUGCAGCUCAUGAAGGACGAUUGAAGCUUCAGCGUAUUACCAAAAGGUCCAGAACAAUGUAACCAGAGCAAAGAAGAGUUUUACACAAGAACAAAAAUUAUCCAACAAUGGGUGAAAAGCUGAAUGUCAACAUGAAACCAGAGAGGAGGGGGUUACAAAGCAGCCCCCAGUGAUUGGAUGAAGAAACUCAGCACAGAACAUCAGAGUGAGGGAGGAAGAUGAGUCAUGCAGUGAGGAACAUGUCCCCUCCAAAGCACAGAAUGUCAAACUAUGUACUCUGGAGGUCAAAUCAGUUACACGAAAGGCAGGAUUUCUAAAAGAACCAAAUUGUGCACAAUUUAUAGAGGACCAUAUCUUCUUGAACAUUUUAGGAAUCAAGGAAGGAGACCCUCAGGGAACUGUAGUUGGCCGUAAGAUCUUCGGGAGUCCUUGGAACAG